Molecule: small nucleolar RNA, 107 nt
Organism: Mangifera indica (mango)
Lineage: Eukaryota; Viridiplantae; Streptophyta; Magnoliopsida; Sapindales; Anacardiaceae
Source: RefSeq, a predicted model, not a curated record
AGGUCAUGAUAUGGGCAAUGUCUUUGUAAGUCCUUGUAUCCCUCUCAUACUUCUUAUAGAGUUUCAUCAUCCCUUGUAGUAAAUAUGGUGAUGUCAUUUUUUAUCUU